Molecule: regulatory RNA element, 78 nt
Organism: Cellulophaga lytica DSM 7489
Lineage: Bacteria; Pseudomonadati; Bacteroidota; Flavobacteriia; Flavobacteriales; Flavobacteriaceae
Source: Rfam
AUUUAAGAGGAAGGAUUUGACUGAUUGCAACCUCGUAUACUGAUUCUCAGUACUACAAAAAAUGCUAAAACAGAUUUA